RNAcentral lists this ribosomal RNA (890 nucleotides) under Marquandomyces marquandii. Its description in RNAcentral is "LSU rRNA". It matches the Rfam family "Eukaryotic large subunit ribosomal RNA", at positions 37 to 958 of the family's 3401-position model. The record is from RNAcentral. Lineage: Eukaryota; Fungi; Ascomycota; Sordariomycetes; Hypocreales; Clavicipitaceae.
AGCAUAUCAAUAAGCGGAGGAAAAGAACCCAACAGGGAUUGCCCCAGUAACGGCGAGUGAAGCGGCAACAGCUCAAAUUUGAAAUCUGGCCCCUAGGGCCCGAGUUGUAAUUUGCAGAGGAUGCUUUUGGCGAGGUGCCUUCCGAGUUCCCUGGAACGGGACGCCAUAGAGGGUGAGAGCCCCGUCUGGUUGGAUACCGAGCCUCUGUAAAGCUCCUUCGACGAGUCGAGUAGUUUGGGAAUGCUGCUCUAAAUGGGAGGUAUAUGUCUUCUAAAGCUAAAUAUUGGCCAGAGACCGAUAGCGCACAAGUAGAGUGAUCGAAAGAUGAAAAGCACUUUGAAAAGAGGGUUAAAAAGUACGUGAAAUUGUUGAAAGGGAAGCGCUCAUGACCAGACUUGGGCCCGGUGAAUCACCCAGCGUUCUCGCUGGGGCACUUUGCCGGGCUCAGGCCAGCAUCAGUUCGCGCCGGGGGACAAAGACUUCGGGAAUGUGGCUCCUCCGGGAGUGUUAUAGCCCGUUGUGCAAUACCCUGGGGCGGACUGAGGUUCGCGCAUCUGCAAGGAUGCUGGCGUAAUGGUCAUCAGCGACCCGUCUUGAAACACGGACCAAGGAGUCGUCUUCGUAUGCGAGUGUUCGGGUGCAAAGCCCCUACGCGUAAUGAAAGUGAACGCAGGUGAGAGCUUCGGCGCAUCAUCGACCGAUCCUGAUGUUCUCGGAUGGAUUUGAGUAAGAGCAUACGGGGCCGGACCCGAAAGAAGGUGAACUAUGCUUGAAUAGGGUGAAGCCAGGGGAAACCCUGGUGGAGGCUCGCAGCGGUUCUGACGUGCAAAUCGAUCGUCAAUUUGAGCAUGGGGGCAAAAGACUAAUCGAACCUUCUAGUAGCUGGUUCC